This 393-nucleotide ribosomal RNA is filed under the name uncultured bacterium. Its description in RNAcentral is "bacterial SSU rRNA". It matches the Rfam family "Bacterial small subunit ribosomal RNA", at positions 30 to 425 of the family's 1533-position model. The record is from RNAcentral.
AUUGAACGCUGGCGGCAUGCCUUACACAUGCAAGUCGAACGGCAGCGCGGGGCAACCUGGCGGCGAGUGGCGAACGGGUGAGUAAUAUAUCGGAACGUACCCUGGAGUGGGGGAUAACGUAGCGAAAGUUACGCUAAUACCGCAUACGAUCUAAGGAUGAAAGUGGGGGCAUCGCAAGACCUCAUGCUCCUGGAGCGGCCGAUAUCUGAUUAGCUAGUUGGUGGGGUAAAGGCCUACCAAGGCAUCGAUCAGUAGCUGGUCUGAGAGGACGACCAGCCACACUGGGACUGAGACACGGUCCAGACUCCUACGGGAGGCAGCAGUGGGGAAUUUUGGACAAUGGGCGCAAGCCUGAUCCAGCAAUGCCGCGUGAGUGAAGAAGGCCUCGGGUUG